GUCAAACCCUACCCUGCCCUAAAAACCCCACACCCCCUUUCUACUUCUCUUUCCAGAAAGUUUUGAUUUUGGGAUUUUGGGUUUUCUUGAACUCUCUGUUUCUUUGCAUUUUUUUGGGUUGUUUUGUUUUUUUUGGGAGUAAAAAUGGAGGUGUGUAGUUUGAGGUCUGAUGUAGCUGUUUUUGGAAGAAUGGUGGUGGGGUCUGUUCUUGAAGCUGUAGUUGCUGAAAUCCUUUUGGCUGCUCAGAGAUCUGCUGCUUCUUUGCUCAUUGUGGCAGGAAUUAUGCUCAAGGAUGCUGAUUCAUUGCCAGAUCUGAUAGGAACUGAUAAAAGGUUUCCAUUUGAGGAGCUUCAUAAAAUGGACAAAGCUGGGCCUGAGAACAAAGAUGGUAGCGACACAGAGGAUGAUGAUGAAGAUGACGAUGGAGAAGCUGAUGAUCAGGAUGACGAUGAUGCUGAUGACGAAGACUUUUCAGGCGAAGGAGGAGAGGAUGAUGAUGAUGAUGAAGCAGAUCCCGAAGACAAUCCAGCAUCUAAUGGCAAUGAAGGCAGCGAUGAUGAAGACGACGACGACGACGAUGA
This 581-nucleotide unclassified non-coding RNA is filed under the name Hevea brasiliensis (rubber tree). Lineage: Eukaryota; Viridiplantae; Streptophyta; Magnoliopsida; Malpighiales; Euphorbiaceae. The record is from RNAcentral.